GAAAGGGGAAGAGAGAGAGAGGAUCCAAACACCUCAUAAAAACAGAUACUCAAAAUCUUCCGUUGUCCGAACAGGUUACUCCCAGAGCUCAAGAUUCGUCUCUAUCUGAAACUCGAUGAGAAUGGGGAAAACGAGAGAAGAAGUUCUAACCUACGCCUAUAUUCUCCUCUACAUUGGCCUCUCCAGCGGUCAGAUCUUCUUCAACAAGUGGAUUUUAUCAUCGAAGCAAAUUAACUUCCCCUAUCCUCUUGGAUUGACUCUUCUACACAUGGUGUUCUCCUCUGUUUUGUGUUUUAUCCUCACCAAAGUUUUCAAGAUUAUGAAGGUCGAGACGGAAAUGACUUUAGAUAUAUAUGCUACAUCAGUUGUUCCAAUUGGUGCGAUGUUUGCAAUGACUCUGUGGCUGGGAAACACUGCAUACCUGUACAUAUCUGUUGCAUUUGCACAGAUGUUGAAAGCUAUCAUGCCCGUAGCUGUUUUCAUCCUCGGAGUAGCAGCUGGCCUUGAAGUAAUGAGCUGCAGAAUGCUUUUCAUAAUGUCUGUGAUCAGUUUUGGAGUUCUUGUGGCAUCUUAUGGGGAAAUAAAUGUUAACUGGGUGGGAGUGGUCUAUCAAAUGGGUGGGGUGGUUGGAGAAGCUUUGAGGCUCAUUUUCAUGGAGAUUUUUGUGAAAAAGAAGGGUGUCCGACUCAACCCCAUAUCUGUCAUGUACUAUGUGAGCCCAUGCAGUGCUCUGUGCCUCUUUAUUCCAUGGGUAUUUCUAGAAAAACCGAAGAUGGACGCUGCUGGGCCCUGGAACUUCCCACCAGUUAUAUUGGCCCUCAAUUGCCUCUGCACUUUUGCACUCAAUCUGUCAGUUUUCCUUGUCAUCUCCCAUACAAGUGCACUGACCAUUCGUGUGGCUGGAGUUGUCAAGGACUGGGUGGUCGUCUUAUUGUCAGCCCUUCUAUUUGCAGAUACGAAGCUGACGGCUAUAAACCUAUGCGGUUAUGGCAUUGCCAUUGUCGGGGUGGCAGCUUACAAUAACUACAAGUUAAAGAAAGAAGCUGCACGUGCGGUUAUGCACGAACAAGCCAAUAGCUAUCAAGAUAAGCCUGUAGGUGGUCAGGUCAGACCAAGGGACAUGCCCUCAACUCUUAGUGAAGAAGACACAUGAAUGAGCACAUACCAUUCUGAGUGAUGAUGCUAAUUGUUUGCUGUUAUUUGAGGCACACAGGAAUCCUUCAGCUGCAAAGGUGGUGGCAAGCUGCCUCCUACUGCCUACUGUAUGAUAAUGUGGAAGUAUUUGGGAAUUUCUUUGACAGAUUGGGAGCAGAGACGGUUGUCAGGUCAGGACAAGAGCUGCUCUGUAGAAUUGAGUCCAUCGGUUCCUAUCAUGUAAAAAAUCCCACACGGGUUCUGCAUUGCAUUUUUUCUUUUUCUUCGCAGGUGAUUCUGCAUGCACCCAUCAAGUUGAUUGUUACUAUACCUUUUUUUGUGCUGUACCGCCUGCGGUUGGAUUUGACAAGGUCUAUGCCUCAGUCAUUUCAGCUGUGAGAGAUUUCUAUAUGGUCGGUUAAAUUCU
This is an RNA transcript of Magnolia sinica, 1561 nucleotides long. It is a transcript of the gene named probable sugar phosphate/phosphate translocator At3g14410, with no coding region annotated. The record is from RefSeq and is a predicted model, not a curated record. The transcript has 9 exons. NCBI's taxonomy places the organism in Eukaryota, Viridiplantae, Streptophyta, Magnoliopsida, Magnoliales, Magnoliaceae.